GAGGACAUAGCUCAGUGGGAGAGCGUGUGCUUAGCAUGCGGGAGGUCCUGGGUUCAAUCCCCAGGACCUCC
Molecule: transfer RNA, 71 nt
Filed under: Camelus bactrianus (Bactrian camel)
Lineage: Eukaryota; Metazoa; Chordata; Mammalia; Artiodactyla; Camelidae
Also listed under: 2 other names
Rfam family: tRNA
About the family: Transfer RNA (tRNA) molecules are approximately 80 nucleotides in length. Their secondary structure includes four short double-helical elements and three loops (D, anti-codon, and T loops). Further hydrogen bonds mediate the characteristic L-shaped molecular structure. tRNAs have two regions of fundamental functional importance: the anti-codon, which is responsible for specific mRNA codon recognition, and the 3' end, to which the tRNAs corresponding amino acid is attached (by aminoacyl-tRNA synthetases). tRNAs cope with the degeneracy of the genetic code in two manners: having more than one tRNA (with a specific anti-codon) for a particular amino acid; and 'wobble' base-pairing, i.e. permitting non-standard base-pairing at the 3rd anti-codon position.
Source: Rfam by way of RNAcentral